This 106-nucleotide small nuclear RNA is filed under the name Stegodyphus mimosarum. The record is from RNAcentral. Lineage: Eukaryota; Metazoa; Arthropoda; Arachnida; Araneae; Eresidae.
UUAAAACGUCUGCAGUAAAUAUACUAAAAUUGGAACGAUGCAGAGAAGAUUAGCAUGGCCCCAGCGCUAGUACGACACGCAAAAUCGUGAAGCAUUCCAAUGAAAA